This 440-nucleotide ribosomal RNA is filed under the name uncultured bacterium. RNAcentral's name for it is "partial 16S ribosomal RNA". It matches the Rfam family "Bacterial small subunit ribosomal RNA", at positions 338 to 795 of the family's 1533-position model. The record is from RNAcentral.
CCUACGGGGGGCAGCAGUGGGGAAUAUUGGACAAUGGGGGAAACCCUUAUCCAGCGACGCCGCGUGAGGGAAGAAGGUUUUCGGAUUGUAAACCUCUUUCAGUGGGGACGCUAAUGACGGUACCCACGGAGGAAGCCACGGCUAACUACGUGCCAGCAGCCGCGGCACUACGUAGGUGGCAAGCGUUGUCCGGAAUUACUGGGCGUAAAGGGAGCGUAGGCGGGAUGUCAAGUCAGGAGUGAAAAUUAUGGGCUUAACUCAUAACCUGCUUUUGAAACUGGUAUUCUUGAGUGAAGGAGAGGCAAGCGGAAUGCGUAGUGUAGCGGUGAAAUGCGUAGAUAUUAGGAGGAACACCGGUGGCGAAGGCGAGUUGCUGGGCUUUUACUGACGCUGAGGCUCGAAAGCGUGGGGAGCAAACAGGAUUAGAUACCCCGGUAGUC